RNAcentral lists this ribosomal RNA (460 nucleotides) under uncultured bacterium. Its description in RNAcentral is "partial 16S ribosomal RNA". It matches the Rfam family "Bacterial small subunit ribosomal RNA", at positions 338 to 795 of the family's 1533-position model. The record is from RNAcentral.
CCUACGGGAGGUAGCAGUGAGGAAUAUUGGUCAAUGGACGAGAGUCUGAACCAGCCAAGUAGCGUGAAGGAUGACUGCCCUAUGGGUUGUAAACUUCUUUUAUAUGGGAAUAAAAUGUUCCACGUGUGGGAUUUUGUAUGUACCAUAUGAAUAAGGAUCGGCUAACUCCGUGCCAGCAGCCGCGGUAAUACGGAGGAUCCGAGCGUUAUCCGGAUUUAUUGGGUUUAAAGGGAGCGCAGGUGGAUUGUUAAGUCAGUUGUGAAAGUUUGCGGCUCAACCGUAAAAUUGCAGUUGAAACUGGCAGUCUUGAGUACAGUAGAGGUGGGCGGAAUUCGUGGUGUAGCGGUGAAAUGCUUAGAUAUCACGAAGAACUCCGAUUGCGAAGGCAGUUCACUGGACUGCAACUGACACUGAGGCUCGAAAGUGUGGGUAUCAAACAGGAUUAGAUACCCUAGUAGUC